RNAcentral lists this non-coding RNA (30 nucleotides) under Rattus norvegicus (Norway rat). The record is from RNAcentral. Lineage: Eukaryota; Metazoa; Chordata; Mammalia; Rodentia; Muridae.
AACUGCUAAUUGGUGACACCGAGUUCUAUC